GGACCCGCACAAGCAGCGGAGCAUGUGGUUUAAUUCGAAGCAACGCGAAGAACCUUACCAGGACUUGACAUCCUUCUGACAGAUCCUUAAACGGAUCCUCCUUCGGGCAGAAGUGACAGGUGGUGCAUGGUUGUCGUCAGCUCGUGUCGUGAGAUGUUGGGUUAAGUCCCGCAACGAGCGCAACCCUUGUCUUUAGUUGCCAUCAUUAAGUUGGGCACUCUAGAGAGACUGCCGGGGAUAACUCGGAGGAAGGUGGGGAUGACGUCAAAUCAUCAUGCCCCUUAUGUUCUGGGCUACACACGUGCUACAAUGGCUGGUACAGAGAGACGCAAGACCGUGAGGUGGAGCAAAACUCCAAAACCAGCCCCAGUUCGGAUUGCAGGCUGCAACUCGCCUGCAUGAAGCCGGAGUUGCUAGUAAUCGCGAAUCAGAAUGUCGCGGUGAAUGCGUUCCCGGGUCUU
This 461-nucleotide ribosomal RNA is filed under the name uncultured bacterium. RNAcentral's name for it is "bacterial SSU rRNA". It matches the Rfam family "Bacterial small subunit ribosomal RNA", at positions 917 to 1382 of the family's 1533-position model. The record is from RNAcentral.